Molecule: long non-coding RNA, 579 nt
Filed under: Scleropages formosus (Asian bonytongue)
Lineage: Eukaryota; Metazoa; Chordata; Actinopteri; Osteoglossiformes; Osteoglossidae
Description: lncRNA (ENSSFOG00015030614.1)
Source: RNAcentral
UAGCAUCAGCACCGCGAUCUCCGCGGGAUGGACUCAGCGCUGAUCGGUGUCACGAAAGGAUGGACAUCUGAUGGGGUCCAGCUGGGCAGCUUGGGAAGGCAUAUGAGAAAACUUCAGCUUUUGCACCCACUGGGUGUGAAAAGACUGCUAAGAUCAGGACUGGAACAGAGGUGAGGAAGAUGAGAAGGUGGCUCGCUGCAUCACGAACAGACCUGCUCCCAAGCCUGCCGGUGAAAUACGCAAGACCAGGCAGCUUCGUACCAGCAGCCUGAGGGAGGAGAUGCUCAGAAACACGUUGCUGAAGGAACUUAAAUCUGGACCUUGAAACGAACGUGUGGUAAAGAGCUCGUUGACAGGCAGAGCUUUAAGAACAGGCUGGUAUACAGUUUUUACAGGAAUGAAACCUCCCAACAAAUAAUGGCAAGGCUAUUAAAAGGAACAUUUCACAAGAGUGAUUCCAAUGGUAACACUCAGCAUAAUGAUUUAAAGGGGCUUUGUGAGUUGAACUGAACCCCUUAUGAUGGAUAAUUCAAGUUAUGAUGUUGUUUUAGUGAGUAACCCCCUACAGUUGUCUCCAGC